Molecule: long non-coding RNA, 739 nt
Organism: Drosophila albomicans
Lineage: Eukaryota; Metazoa; Arthropoda; Insecta; Diptera; Drosophilidae
Exons: 4
Source: RefSeq, a predicted model, not a curated record
UCAGAUGCAGACAUUUUUUUUGCAUUACGUUCACAUUACAGUACUGGUUCCAAACGAAUAGGAAUCGAUUAAAAAUCCAAUCGAAUCCAGUUUAACUUGGCGGUCUGAUUAGCAUUGCUGAUUUUUUUUAUAAAUUGUAUAAUAGUUUGUUUUAAAAUUGUAAAAAUAAAAAACGCGUUGUUUUAUAGUGUUCCAUAUAAUUGUGCAUUCGCAUUAACCAAUUUCGUGCGCAUUUUCCGAAAAUUUGCUAUGGGCAAGUGUUUUUUAAGUGUAUUAAGUGCAAGUAUAUUUAGUGUGCGUUUAUAAAAAUCAUCAUUGCAUAUUCGCUGUCGCCUUGCCCAUUGGAGCACUCUUUUGCAACGAAUAUUUUCUGUUCGCUGAAGUCUUGCUAGUUUAUGCCCAAUUCUCAAUACAAAUACAAACUAAAUUGUGUUCUAACAUUUCUGUAGAAGAAUUUUGAAGAAUGCUCAAGUAAGUUUGGGAAAUAAUAGAAAACUUGAAGAGCGGUUUAACAAUGCGUCACAAGCGUGUUUGUGUGUAAAGACGAGGCAUGAAAAGAGAGCAGACAUUGGCGUUCAUUUGCAUGUUUGUUUUUUUUUUGGGCGUGCUAUCAGCUGGCGAGAAAGAAGAAACAAGAAGCUCGUCUCGUUUUGGCACCGAUAUCUAAUGGCAUUCGAGCUGUGUGUGGUGCAUAAAAAAUGCUGUUGGGUUGACUUGAAUUACAGUAGCCAAACAAUCA